Non-coding RNA from Anas platyrhynchos (mallard), 377 nucleotides. The record is from RefSeq and is a predicted model, not a curated record. Lineage: Eukaryota; Metazoa; Chordata; Aves; Anseriformes; Anatidae.
AAUAAAUUAAAAAUUAAAGCCAUUUACGGCAGCGUGCAGCUGCCAUUGGCCGGGUUCGUUAGCAAAUGACACGCCCGGCUGAUAACGAGACGGAAUAAAACCAGGAAUUACGGCUGCAAAACCACAGCUGGAAAGGAAGGUGGGAGGGCCGUAAGAUGGGAAAGGCGAAAUUCAGCAAAUUGGAAAUAAUUCUUAUCGUCCUCUUCUGCUUGGCGGUGGCUGUGGCUUGCGUCCUCAUUGGCAUUUUGGCGACGAAGGAAGAAACAAUAGUAAAUAGUGGUGAUACUGGUAAUACUGAUUUUUCCCCGACCUGCCUGAACUUGACAGCAGCCGAGAGAAUCGACUGCAUCCCGGAUCAAUUCGCCACCAAGGUCUGG